Non-coding RNA from Subdoligranulum sp. CAG:314, 330 nucleotides. It matches the Rfam family "Bacterial RNase P class A". Rfam says of the family: Ribonuclease P (RNase P) is a ubiquitous endoribonuclease, found in archaea, bacteria and eukarya as well as chloroplasts and mitochondria. Its best characterised activity is the generation of mature 5'-ends of tRNAs by cleaving the 5'-leader elements of precursor-tRNAs. Lineage: Bacteria; Bacillati; Bacillota; Clostridia; Eubacteriales; Oscillospiraceae. The record is from Rfam.
AGAGUCAGCCGGACGGUCGCGGGGAGCAAGCUCCACGAGGAAAGUCCGAGCACCGCAGGGCAGAGCGCCGGCUAAUUACCGGUGAAGGCGACUUCAAGGAAAGUGCAACAGAAAUAUACCGCACGUUUUUGCGUGCAAGGGUGGAAAUGUGAGGUAAGAGCUCACAAACGUCUUGGCGACUUGACGUUCCUGUAAACCCCGCUCGGUGCAAGAAAUGAGAACAAGCGUUUGCCCGACGCCUCGAUAUGAUUCGCUCGAGCGUGCCGGAAACGGUACGCCUAGACAGAUGACCGUCUAAUACAGAACUCGGCUUACAGACUGGCUCGCAAA